UACGUAGGGUGCAAUCUUUGUCCGGUAUUAUUGGGCGUAAAGAGCUCGUAGGCGGUUUGUCGCGUCUGCUGUGAAAGUGCUGAGCUCAACCCCGGAACUGCAGUGGGUACGGGCAGACUAGAGUGCGGUAGAGGAGACUGGAAUUACUGGUGUAGCGGUGGAAUGCGCAGAUAUCAGGAGGAACACAAGUGGCGAAGGCGGGGCUCUGGGCUGCAACUGACGCUGAGGAGCGAAAGCGUGGGGAGCGAACAGG
RNAcentral lists this ribosomal RNA (253 nucleotides) under uncultured bacterium. RNAcentral's name for it is "partial 16S ribosomal RNA". It matches the Rfam family "Bacterial small subunit ribosomal RNA", at positions 524 to 776 of the family's 1533-position model. The record is from RNAcentral.